UUUUGUACAGCUGCAAGCACACACCAAUAAGUAAAGCUGCAAACACACACCAAUAAGAUUAACAAUGACUAGAUGAAAGACAGUAAGUUUGAAACUAAAUUUUAUGAAAGUGAGUUUUCAGAUUGAUUUGAAUUAGCAGUUGUUAGUAUACAGUAAGCACUUACUAUGUGCUAGUAGCUAUUAUAAGUUACAAGUAAUGAGUUAAUACUAGAAUUAACUCAAUUCUCUAAAUACUUUUUUCAUGGUUUUGUAGAAGCAACCAAUAUGAGAUUUUGUGGGUUAAAUAGCUUCCAUCUGGUCUAGCAGCAAUAAGCUAAUAAAUCACCAAUAGGGGAUUCGAAUAUAGACCAUCUGGCUCUCACUAGUGUCCCCGUUACAUUCUUCUGUUUCUGAAACGAAGAAUGAGGAGUUGGGAGAGAAGAGAGAAAAGUAAUGGUAAAUGAAAAGUCAUCAAGGUAGAAAUAAGUAAGUCAUACACAAGGUGGACCAAUCUUUGUGUAUGGGCUACGAGGCAACAUCUGGGUGAAGAACAAGGUGGAAAUGAGGUUGGGAAGGUAAGCACAUGGGCCAAGUAACUGGAGCAUGAUUUCAAAUGUUUGCCUUACCAUCUACAAGCAUAAUUAAAGAUAAUAACCACAAUCUUGGGGGGAAAUCUUGGUAAGUCCCUUUUACUAGCAGUUCUACAACAGAAAUGCAAAAAAAUAGGAAACUUACUGAUAACCUUGUGAAGCUAAAUCAAUAACUCUCAAAUAAAACAACUCUGUUAUAAAAGGAAUUAUUUCUUUAGCCUAUGUACUAGUUGAGUUAGCCCCUGCACCAACUAAAACAAUUUGUAAAAAUCUUGAAAGUGAUGAAGGUAUAACAUUUACAUUAAUAUAUUUCUUGGUAGAACUGGUUUUAGGAAAGGAAAUAAUUUCAUAUUCUCAUUUCCAGUUUUUCCUAAGAUAUAUAUAUAUUUGCUUAUUUAAUCCAUUAAAAUCCAUUAUAUAUAAUAUAUUUAAUUCAUGUAUAUAUAUUUAUAUAUUAUCCAUUUAAUAUUGGAUAUAUCAUAUAUUUAUAUAUUAUCCAUUUAAUCCAUUAUAUAUAUUUAAUCCAUAAUCCAUUAUAUGUUAUAUAUAUAAAAUCCAUUAUAUAUGUAUAUAUAUUAUAUAUAUAUAUAAUAUAUUCAAUCCACUAAAGCAGAAUUUUUCCAAGGGAGAAACAUAGAAGUAAAUCUACCUUUAUCAAGGUUACUUAAAAAUCUGUUUGGCAUUUGAUCAACUAAGAGUCAAUCACCUGAGUUCUAACUCAUGACGAAAAUCCAGCAGAUUAGUUUGAAACAUUCUGCUAAUGUGAAUCUGAUUUGACAGGAUAUUAACUGCAUUAUCUAGAAUAAUGCUAUUGGUAUUUAUAGAACAUUGGCCAGUACUACAAUUUUCUUAUUAAUUUCUGGAAAAAGCUUUUGAGAUCUUUGGUGUCUGCUGUUUCAAGGACUAAACAAUUAUAUGCAUUAUAAUUCAUGGAGAAUACAUUUUUUUCAUAUUUCUAGGUUGUUUUCUUUGCCUACUGGUGAGCAAAUACCUAUCAGACUCUUUGGCAUCUAUCAAAGUUUUCUGAGUAUCUUAUAACAACAGAGCACAGAUCCAGGAAAAUUUAGACAUUACUAAAUAAACAGCACACAGAUGUGGGUGUUGAAAAAUUAAUAGCACACAAUCUGAUGGGCUGUAGUACCAAAAGGCUUCUACAAAAACAGAAUGAAAUAAACCCAAGCACAAAUACUCAUGUAAUCAUGGCAUAAAUGAAUCAUCAAGUAUCAAAACAGAAGUUUAGAGUCUGGCAACACGUACAGCUUCUAACAAAUGACUCAGCCGCACACAUCAUUCUUCAUGUCACCUCAUUUGUAGAAAGACUAUUAGAAGUAAGAGCAACAUGUUACAUGUCAACAGAAACCAGUUUAGAGAACAAUUUCAGAAUAUUUCAUGAUGUUUGUCAUCCUCCUCAUCAUUCGAAAACGACCUCUUACAUUUUCAAGAUGGGUCCUAACCACUCUCAGAGAAGGUGUUCUAAUAGUCCACCAACUCGUUGUCAUUAUGAAUUAAGGCCACGGGAACCCUAGGAGGUUGCUGCUGACAUCUAGUGGCAUCACUUUUCAAAUGCCAAAUGCAUGAAAAAUACACAACCAGAGAGACAAAGGGGCAAACAUACAGACGUAGGCACAUGCCAAGUCCAGUGGACACCUCAUGUCAUAAACUAUUUGCCUCUGCGCACACUACCCUGAUGCCAGUGAUCUGCUCCCCUUCCAAGUUCACGUUAGUUCUGCAAAACCAAAGAAAUGAAAACUAACACACACGCUAAAGCUUUAAAGGAACCGAUUCCCUCAAAGUCCUUAGUCCUCUACCGGAAAUUGCCAAUUCCCAAGCAGCCCCAAUUUCCAAAAGUCCUGCUACCGCCCCAAUAGUCAAUGAUUCCACUUCAACUUUCUAAAUAACCGUCACCCUUUCCCAACCUUCACAGGCACCCAGGUACUCCUAGGAUCCCAGCCCCGAGAAGCUGCUGCAGAGCUGGGAACGUGUUAUUGCAGACUGCAUAUCCACAAACAUACGGACACAUUCAAAAUGCCCACAAACGUCUUAGGCAUGAGGUUCAACAAUCAUUGCAAGAUUAAAAAUGGCUUUCGGAAAGGGGCAGCUUUGAUGGCUUCCCAGCCCCCGCAUGAAUGAUGAUGAAUAGGACACAGAAGAAAUGGAGCUCGGGAAAAAUGAUAGGAGCACAGAGCAUGCUCCUACAAGCAUGUAAGAGCACUCGUACUGUAGUCCACGUGUGUACAUAAGGUGGGUACGUGUGUGGGCCGAACGGGAGACUCUCCAGUCCUGCCCAGCUAGAGCACCUAUGAACACAGCAGUUCAACACUGAUUGAAUGAAUGAAUACAUGAAUGAAUGAGGUGGCGAGUUACAAUAGGACUUUUUCUUCCUAUUGGUUCUGAUGAGCGCUACGCAGCAGGCAGGAUCUUUAUAAGGCAGGGUUUUACUCAGGCCACAAGAGCCUUAGCUCAGCAGCUCAGCUUAGAACUUUCUUCAACGACACGUGCAAAAUGGCAAAAACCAAUGAGCGACAGAAUUGGGCAAUCCUGACUUGGAGAAGGGAAUGUUUCAAUAGGCGAAAAUUAUUUUCUUUAUGAGUUCAUGUAUUCGAAUUUAGAUUCUAUUCUCAUUGAAAAGAUGUGAUAAAGGGCGAGUAGCUUCUCAUGGUAGUUCUAAAUCAUACAAAACAUAGCCAGAUUAUAACUCUCGUCGUACAGAGGACUCUUUUAGCCUUUAAAUAUGACUUUAGUGCAAAUCGUAGAGAUGCAAGGAGCUCAUUCAUUCAGUUUGUGCACUUGACUCAAAAGUGGAAGUAAAAAUGGUUUGCAGAAGAAUCUUCUUUAUAUUCAUAUUAAAGGAGGGCAGUCCCGGUGGCUCAGCGGUUUAGCAUCGCUUUCAGCCCAGGGCGUGAUCCUAGAGACCCUGGAUCGAGUCCCACGUCGGGCUCCCUGCACGGAGCCUGCUUCUCCCUCUGCCUGUGUCUCUGCCUCUCUCUCUCUUUCUCUCUCUGUCUCUCAUGAAUAAAUAAAUAAAAAUCUAAAUAUAUAUACAUAUAUAUUCAUAUUAAAGGAAAGAAAUCCCAUGUCAAUGUAUGUACCUUUAUAUAUAAUAAAACAAAAUUAUAUAUAUAUAUAUAUAUAUACAUACACACACACAUGUACACAUAGGAACUAGUAGGGAGCAAUAUAUGCAAAUCAGUGACAAUGUGAGCUGUUUAUCUAGAUGAUUCCACCAAGUGAAUAUGGGCUAAGGGGGAGAAAUAGUGGUAUUACGAGGAAUUCAGAAAGCUUCUUAAAGAGAAGUUUUAAGGUUAUGAAGGCCUAGGAUUCAGGGAGAAAGACUGGGCAUUCAGAACGGAGUAUUCAGCAGAAAGAAACACAAGGAUGUUCAGGGUAUGCAGCGGAGUAAGAGAAAAAUGAAGCAAUACAGGCAGGGAAUCGACGGAAGGACUUAAAUACUAUUUGCAGGAGUCAAUUCCAGACAGCGUCAUGACUUACAGUCUUGCGAGUUUUUAAACAGGCUUUAAAAGACGGAGUAUCCCACAGAAUCUAAUCGUCAGAAGACUAAAACAUAACAAGAACUUU
RNAcentral lists this long non-coding RNA (4145 nucleotides) under Canis lupus familiaris (dog). RNAcentral's name for it is "lncRNA (ENSCAFG00845019127.1)". Lineage: Eukaryota; Metazoa; Chordata; Mammalia; Carnivora; Canidae. The record is from RNAcentral.